RNAcentral lists this long non-coding RNA (386 nucleotides) under Homo sapiens (human). Its description in RNAcentral is "HSALNT0019732". Lineage: Eukaryota; Metazoa; Chordata; Mammalia; Primates; Hominidae. The record is from RNAcentral.
CUGCAAGCCUGGCUUACGUACAAACACUGUACUGGAUGCUUAAACAAGAAAAUUAAAUAAACCCCUAAUUCAUCACUUUCCUUCAUCCUCCCUUUCACCUGUCACCCUACCUCCACCCCAAGUUUCACAGCCUAAACAGAAGAGAUCAAAAGACUGAAAUAUUAGUGAUAUUUUGGAAGGAAGAAUAGAUGGAAUCCAGAUGGAUGGAAACCUUUAUCUGAUUCUUGCACACAUGGCCACAGGAGGAAUUCUCUUCCAUGAUGUUGACAGCCUCAAUUACAGCAGAAGCUAACAGGGGAAGUAGUAAAACUGAACAGCAGUAAUCCUGGCUGGAAAGUCACUGAUGGUCAAUUAUGAAAGAUCUGUCACAGGAGAAGCCUUCAAUA